AUUGAACGCUGGCGGCAGGCCUAACACAUGCAAGUCGAACGAGUGGCGGACGGGUGAGUAAUGUCUGGGAAACUGCCUGAUGGAGGGGGAUAACUACUGGAAACGGUAGCUAAUACCGCAUACCAUCGGAUGUGCCCAGAUGGGAUUAGCUAGUAGGUGGGGUAAAGGCUCACCUAGGCGACGAUCCCUAGCUGGUCUGAGAGGGUGACCGGCCACACUGGAACUGAGACACGGUCCAGACUCCUACGGGAGGCAGCAGUAGGGAAUAUUGGGCAAUGGACGAAAGCCUGAUGGAGCAAUGCCGCGUGAAUGAAGAAGGCCUUCGGGUUGUAAAGUACUUUCGGCAGAGAAGCGUUACCCACAGAGGAAGCACCGGCUAACUCCGUGCCAGCAGCCGCGGUAAUUC
RNAcentral lists this ribosomal RNA (406 nucleotides) under uncultured bacterium. RNAcentral describes it as "partial 16S ribosomal RNA". It matches the Rfam family "Bacterial small subunit ribosomal RNA", at positions 30 to 526 of the family's 1533-position model. The record is from RNAcentral.